Molecule: long non-coding RNA, 5556 nt
Filed under: Nicotiana benthamiana
Lineage: Eukaryota; Viridiplantae; Streptophyta; Magnoliopsida; Solanales; Solanaceae
Description: long non-coding RNA (NBEN_LNC036292)
Source: RNAcentral
AAUGGUCGAUACAAAGGUGUUCUCCACCGAGCAACAGUUAACUCAGAGAAAAAGCGGCUUUCCAUUGCCAGCCUUCUAGUCUAGCUUUAGGCAAGAAAGUUAGACCUGCACCAGCACUUGUCGAUGAAAAACAUAUCUUGUCCUACAAAGAAGGAGGCUUCAGUGAUUUCCUUGACUUCAUUUCUGGAGAAGAUAUUGUGGAAGCAAAGUACAUAGACAAACUAAAAAUAAAUCCAUGACAGUAAUAGUCCAUGGACAGCAGAGCAGAUGAUACAAGAAUUCUCACUUUUACACUCUUCACACUUCACGUCAUACAAUCUGUUUGCACUUGUUAAAAUGCAAAGGUUAUAUUCAGUAGCCAUCUUUCGUACAUACUUUGUUCUAACAUCACUGGUGAGAGGCCCAUCUUUCUUCAAAAAAUUUUCCUUUUUUUUAUUUUUUUUGGAAAAAGAAAAAUAAGGGCUCUUAUUUCUUCAUGCUAGGAGGCGUCACUGUGAAAAAUAAAUUUGGAACAGACUUUACCUGUCAUAUUAGGGUUCCCUCAAGGCCACUUAUGAUUUGAGGAUCCAUAAUGUUUGCACCACCAGCAAAAUUAAGAUGUAUCAUCAAGAUCUUCACUAAACCCAAUGAUAUACCUCUGUUAGAAGCCAGCAACUGGAAAAAUCAAAUAAUUUCCAAAUAGGGAAAGAGUUUUAAUAUUCACAUCUAAUCUAGUUUAAGACAAAUAUAGGUCAUACCACAAGUUCAGAACUCAAGCUACAUUCAUCAGUUGGUAAAUGGCUAUACGCGCUUAUAGGAGCAUGUGCUCUCACAGAAGGUAACGUUUUGAUGGUAAAUUGAUACAGAAUGUUUAGUUAAGACCUUAAACCAAUUAGACGUGCAAAGAACAUUAUACUGAUUUACAACCACAACCAUAUACAACAAAGUGACCUUCCAACAAUAGUAUCUGUAAACAUAGCGCAGAAAUAGCCAGCACAACAACCGCUCUCAUAUUAAUAUUAUCAUUCUUUUAUUCUUUCUGGUUUUGGGUUGAGAAGUUACCAUUAUAAGCAAACAGGGAAGCAUGGCUUCAAACUCAACUUCCAUGACUCAGGUAAUGCUCAGAUAUGAUGCCCAACCCUUACUAUCAUAUAGUGUAGACCUCGCUAAUGUUCAGACAUCCAAGCUGUUGUUUCUCCAGGAUUAUCCACUUGUUUCAAACCUCCUUCAAACUAACAUGAAAUUAUUGCAAACCAAGGAAUAAAUUUUCAGGCGAAUACAUCUGAAUUUCUUUAAAUAAAUUGGCUACUGUACGUAGAUUUGAUUUCCUAUUGCACUAAAUAGCUGCAAUCAUCACCUUUGUUAGUCAGAUAACAUGGCAAACUUGCGAUGCUUUCCACCUCCUAAAAGAUUAUAUCCAUGCAUCAUCAGAAUAGGUUGUUAAUGUUUCUAUAAACAAACACCUGUAGUUUGUUUAUCUUAAUUGUUUCUAUUUACUUCCAGUUAAUUCAUUAUAUCUCUACCCUGCGGGGUAGGGGUAAGGUCUGCGUACACACUAUCCUCCCCAGACACCACUAGUGGGAUUUUACUGGGUCGUUGUUGUUGUUGUUAAUUCAUUAUCACCACAUGACAUAUAGGAUUCAGCCAUCGCUAGUCCAUAAUUCAUGUUGAUAACUAAUCAUUUCCUCCAUAGAGUGCAAGCUUAAUCUUUAGAAAUAAGCAUGAAAUAUCCUCAGAUCUCAUCACAAAACCGUCAUUUUUCCCCGAUUUUUCUCAGUAGAAAAUUUUACAUUGACAAUUGAUUUAAAAUAAUUUAGCAUGAAUUUCUGCUUUUACCCAUUCAGAUAGUCACUGAAAUCACAUUUUCCUCCCUUUUUGGUGCAAUUAGUCGACUCUUGAGUUAUAUCUAGUCAACACCAAAUUAUAAUAUCAACAAUCAUUUUUGUCCUGUUUUAUUAAUCUCCCAAAGGUGAUAAUGGAUAACCCAUUAAAGGCCAAGAACAUCAGAUUAUUCAAGGAGCAAGAUGCGUUAUUCAUAUUUCAAGAGAUUAAUCAUUCAUUUCCUCAGGGAAAAAAAGGUAUUCAUUUUCCUCCUUGAUCUUACUCAGGAUUUCUAAUUUCUUCAGCUGUUGACGCCAAUUUUUAGAAAUUCACAUUUUAGUGCAAUUUUAACUAUUUAAAAAUUAUUAAGUCGAACUCUUCUCGCUAAUUCAGUAUUAUCGUAGUUACACAAACAAAAAUCAGCUAUUCGAAGUUGCUAAAACGACUGCUCGAUUUCUUCUCGAUAUGAUGGUUAAAUCGUACGUUUGAUUUGCAUUUAAUCUCAAGAUAUACGAAUAGCAACAAAUAAAAUUGCAGAUAUACAUGAAUCUCACUAUAAUUAGUAAAGAAUUUAAUACACAAAAAAUUAUUAAAAUUAUAGAAAAUUUCAACUGAAUUCGUAGCACAAAAAAAACGCGGGAAAAACACUUACGAAGGGCAGUGAAAAUUGAUUCGAAAAAUUAGCCGUAACUCUCUGCCUUUUCAUACGUCUCUGAUCUUCUCUGUCCCUAUCGCUAAGCCUCUCCUCCAUUUUUACUUUUUCCUGAUUUUCAAUUUUCAACGAAGGGGGCUUGGAAAAUCGAAGAGAGGUGGAUUAAUUUCCUACUCCGCGGGUUUACCGUAUGGCUUUUUCACUUCGGCCAUUAGUUAGCCACGUGUCUAUUCAGUCGGCUCACAUUCUUAUAGGAUUUUGAGCAGUUUUUGAGUGUUUGCGAAGAUCAAAUUGUAUUUUUUUAUUUCGAAAACUUAAUUUCAACUAAACACUGCCUAAUAAACACUUCUAGAAACAUUUCAAAAAGAAAAAAACCACAUCUCACAGAAUAUUUUAUAUCAAAUAAAUUACUUAUUAAAGCGUCGAACUCAUUCUGAUCCCACUUUAUACAUCAAAAUUUCAUAGAACACUAUAUUCGUAUCUCAUUAACUAUGAAAUUAAAAGGGAAAAAAAUGUUUUAAGAAAUUACAUCAUUUCUAAUAAUGAUAAAAAGAUUAUAGGAAAGUAGAAGUGAACCCAAAAUUUAAAAGUGACGAGCACUACUAUCAAAUAAAAAUUCGAAGAUAAAUCAACCAAUACAUCUAUAUAGGUGUUGAGUUUACAAUGUCAAUCAAAAUAUAUAUAUGGCAUUUAAUAAUACAUAUAUAUAUAUAUAUACGAAAUUACCGUGGGAGCAAUGACCCUCUACCAAAGAAUAGAUCCGGCCUCCGUAAACAGAAGUUUCUAAAAAAUCAUUAAAAUUAGGUGUAUGCUAGACAAUACUCCUCACGAUCACAGGACUUAGUUUGAUUUUCAGCGCAAAGAAGUUCUUAAAACCAUUAACAAUGUUUUUUUAACAAUAAAACAAAAAUAUUUGGAAACUUCACUGAGUAUAUAUGCAAGUUCGUCAUAAUUUUAAAAUUAAUUUAUUUUAAAAAAUAUUUUUCAAAAAUAUAUUUUAGGUGAGAAACUGUUUGUGUUUGAUUAAUUAAUUUAAAAAUAAUUAAUUUGAAGCAGGAAAUAAUAUUUUACCAUUAUUUUUAAAUAUAUUUUUCUUAAAAAUAAUUUUCGAAAAAAUAUUUUUUGGGAAGAAGUUACUUUUAUUUGUGCUUCUCAAAAAUUGAUUCAGCUAUUACUCAAAGUAUUUUCUUUUUCAGUUUUAAAAAUUAGACCAAAUAACUUAACUUUAGGAAAAAUAUAUUUUUGGCCAAAAUUAAAUACUUUUGGCAGGAAAAAAAAAAAACACGACCAAACAAGCUAUAUCCACUGGGAGCAUUGUAGACAAGAAUUCCCUCGAGUGGGCUGGAGACAGUGAAGACUGGCACUUGAUUCCAAAAUAGAUGCUUCUUAUGCUUUCACCUGAAAAUACUGCGUGUGCUCAAGAGUAGAUAUGUAAAACGUUAAAAUAACACUUCCAUCGGGUUCAUACACAGUAGAAAACCUAAAAAUUUUAAAAAUAUUUAAAUUUAAAAAAUUAAAUAAAAUAUUUAUUAAAAAAUAUUUAAUUCAUAUAAUAUAUUUUUAAGAUAUAAUAUUUCAAUUUUCACUAAUAUAUAUAAUAUAAUUUUCUGACGAAUAAUGAUCAGUUGAUAAUCAUCCUUAUCAUCAUGUGAUUUCAUCAUUAUAACCACACUUAUUCUAAAAAACAUACACAAAGCCAUGCACACUCGGGGGCGGAGCCACGUUAAAAAGAAUUAUAAUCCCAAAUUUAUAAAGUUUAAAUUCUAGCUACGUCUUUAUGCACACUCUCUCACACACAUAUAUGGGGGCGGUUUGCAGCCUGAAAUUUAACCCGUGGACAACUUUGUUUGAGUUAGCUCACUCUAACAAAGGAAUUAGAUCAAAUAACAAGAAAAUAAAUUUUUACUGCUCUAGAAUAACUUCCCCUAAUCAACAAUGCGAUUCACUUGUUAUUGCAUUUAUCAUUUAAUUAACAUAUAAAAAUUGUUUCUAAAGAAUUGAUUUCCCAUUUACGGAGAACUUAAUAUUCUAUAUUUUUCAAGUGCGAUAGUCUUUUUCUGUUCUCCCAUUGCCUAUCAAGCGUCUUCAAAGAUAUUAUAUUUUGUAUUCAAUUUCUUCCCUCGUGAGUUAUAUACUAAAAGUUUUGAACAUAUAAAAGGAUUUAUUUUAAAUAAAUAAAAAAUAAUUUCCUUGAUCAAAUAUAAAUAAUAUUUUACAAUAGAUACUUCAAGCUACCAAAUUUUGCCACAUAUAUGAGAAUCAAUUGUAUUAAAGAAGAGUUCCUUCCAAUAAUUAAUCAAUAAGAAUAAUUCAACAUCUCAAAAAUUAUCACCUGCUUAUCCAGUAGCAAUAUAAAUUAAUAAAAAUCUCUUCGUUUCAAAAUUACAUUAAAAAUCAGAAAGCAGGAGAUCCCAAAGACAAAUUUUCAUGUCAUGGAAAUUAUUACUUUUUAAAUUGCUAUACUUAAUAUGAUCAAAGAUAAAUUGAAAGAAAGCCAUGAUUAACUUUACACAUUUGGAAAGCAGAAUGUAUAUAUUAAAUGCAAUGUGUAAUUGGCCUUUAUUAUGGAUUAUCAAACAAGUCAAAAAUCAGAAAGAAAGGAAACACAAUAGUGGAAGUAAUCAACAGAAAAUUAAUAGUUUCCAGAUUAGAGUUGAAAUUAACUCAAGAAACUAGGAUUUGUUUUUUAUACAAAUUUUUACCAUAUUACAAAAUUAAACCUGCCAAUGCUCUGCUUAAGCUUCGGCAGCAAACUUCAAGUAAAAUGAUAUUAUAAACUAUAUAUGUAGAAGAAUGUCGGUAUAUAUAUUAUUCGAAAGCAUCCAUAUAUACACAACAACCUCAAGAGGAAAAGGAAAAUGGAAGAGAUUAUAGAAGUGAAAUUAAGUUGUAAAUGCAAGUUUUGUUUUCCUCUAAAUUCCAUGCAGACGUACCAUGCAUAAGUAUUUGUCACUGCAAUCAUCUUUAGCAGAAUUUAUCAAGACGUUGAUGUUGCUGAAAUAUGCUGCCUACCACUUUUGUUUUCCUUCUUCAAUUCCUCACUAUUAUUUUCUCACCACCUUAGGUAAAAUACUCUAUACAUAUUCUCCCACUCCCAUCACAAA